RNAcentral lists this long non-coding RNA (7160 nucleotides) under Lactuca sativa (garden lettuce). RNAcentral describes it as "long non-coding RNA (LSAT_LNC007997)". Lineage: Eukaryota; Viridiplantae; Streptophyta; Magnoliopsida; Asterales; Asteraceae. The record is from RNAcentral.
ACCACUAAAAUGACAUCCAAAGCUCAUAACCCCCAUUAACACUCAUAAAGCUCAAGGGAAAAGGGUCUCUGGACCUCUUUGGGUCCAGAUCUACAGCACCAACACGAGAAGGGACCAAUUACUCAAUAACCUUCCUCUAAAAGGGGCUAAAAAGCCCUAACUCUAGGAAUUACACCAUAAACUGAAGAAGGGUCGAAUGAAUACCUCAAAAUGAAGUCUCUGAGCCCUGGAAUCACUGGAUUAGCACCCUCUUCAGCCUCCUCUUGUCUUGGUCCUCUUCUAUUUGCAAAAACACUAACAAAUGAUCAAGAAAUGGCUCCUUUCCUCUCACAAUCGCUCUAGCUCACUUAGGGUUUCUCUCUGGGGUCUGGUAGCCGCAAAUGACGGCCAUAAGGCCCCUUAAAUAGGCCCCAAACCCGAGGAAUUAGGGUUUCAUUAAACAGCGUGGACUCGCCGAGUCCUCGGGGCGACUCGCCGAGUCCAGCCAUCCACCCGGAUAAUGAUUCGCGUCUCUACUCGGCGAGUCUACGCACCAACUCGCCGAGUUCUUCCACAAAACUUGAAAUAAAAUGAAUAAAUAUAAUACCUGAAAUUCCGGAUGUUACAAUUCUCCCCCACUUGAAUCAGACUUCGCCCUCGAAGUCUCAUCCCUGAAAUAGCUCCGGAUGCUGCUCACGCAUCUCCCGCUCUGGCUCCCAAGUCAACUCGGAUCCUCUCCGAUGUUGCCACUGAACCUGCACCAGAGGCACCUCCUUGUUCCUCAGAACCUUGAUCUUCUGAUCCACAAUCGCAAUUGGUCUCUCAGCGUAGUUCAGGCUCGCAUCCACCUGAAUAUCCUCUAACGGCACUACCGCCGACUCGUCGGCUAUACACUUCCUCAACUGAGACACAUGGAAGGUAUUAUGAAUCCGCUCCAACUCCGCAGGUAGCUCCAAGCGAUACGCUACGCUGCCCACCCUCGCGAUCACUAUGAACGACCCAAUAUACCGGAGCCCUAGCUUGCCCUUCUUCCUGAAUCGAAUCACUCCUUUCCAAGGAGAUACCUUCAGGAGAACAUAAUCACCGAUCUGGAACUCAAGCUCGGAUCGUCGCCUAUCCGCAUAACUCUUUUGGUGACUCUGAGCGGUCAACAAUCUCUGCCUGACCCGUUGAAUCUGCUCUGUCAUCUGAAGCACAAUCUCCGUGCUACCCAUCACUCGUUGCCCUACCUCUCCCCAACAAAUGGGAGUCCGAAACCUCCUCCCAUACAACAGCUCAAAGGGCGGCAUAUUAAUGCUCGAAUGAUGGUUAUUGUUGUAGGAGAACUCCGCUAAGGGCAAAUACGUGUCCCAACUUCCGCCAAAAUCCAACACGCAUGCUCGGAGCAUGUCCUCGAGCGUCCGAAUCGUCCGCUCGCUCUGACCGUCAGUCUGUGGGUGGUAUGCGGUACUAAAAUGCAGCCUCGUACCCAACUCCUCAUGGAAUUUCUUCCAAAAUCUGGAAGUGAAACGCACAUCUAGAUCUGACACAAUCGAGAUCGGCACCCCAUGUCGCGAUACCACCUCUCUCACAUAUACAUCUGCUAACUUUUUCGUAGAAGAACUCUCACUAAUGGCGAGAAAGUGAGCGCUCUUUGUCAAACGGUCUACUAUCACCCAAAUCGCAUCGACACCCCUCGCCGUUCUCGGCAAUUUGGUGAUAAAAUUCAUGGAUAUCUGCUCCCAUUUUCAUUCUGGGACUUCCAGUGGCUGCAACUUACCAUGUGGUCUCUGAUGUUCGGCCUUAACCCUACGACAAGUUAGGCACCUCUCAACAAACCACGCUACAUCUCUCUUCAUACAGGGCCACCAAUACUCCCUUUUAAGAUCCAGAAACAUCUUAGUGGCCCCGGGAUGGAUCGAGAAUCUCGAUCUAUGCGCCUCCUCCAUCAAGAUGGUACGCGUUCCUCCAACAAACGGUACCCAAAUCCGACCCUGGAAGGUCAUAAGCCCUCUGCUAUCGGUCACGAACUCUGACACCUGUCCGAUAACUCGCUCUCUCUUACGGUUCUCCGGUCUUACUGCCUUAGCCUGAGCCCCUAUGAUGGUGUCCAACACCAGGGUCAUCACCAUCAAUGUCAUACAAAUAUCCCGAAUCGGGGCGCUCUCUGCCCUACGACUCAGAGCGUCGGCUACCACAUUAGCCUUGCCCGGGUGGUACAGGAUCUCGCAAUCAUAAUCCUUUACUACAUCCAACCAUCUCCUCUGACGCAUGUUCAGGUUUGGCUGAUCCAUCAAAUACUUCAAACUCUUGUGGUCCGUGUAUAUCGUACACCGAACCCCAUACAGAUAAUGGCGCCAAAUCUUGAGGGCGAACACCACAGCCCCCAACUCUAGAUCGUGGGUGGGAUACCUUGCCUCAUGAGGCUUCAGCUGCCUCGAUGCGUACGCGAUCACAUGCCCCCUCUGCAUCAACACCGCGCCCAACCCAGAUAUCGAUGCGUCACAAUACACCACGAAGUCCUCCAUUCCCUCUGGAAGAGCCAACACCGGGGCUUCGCACAAUCUCUGGCGAAGAGUCUCAAAUGAGGCCUGCUGAUCCGGGCCCCAGCUGAACACCACACCCUUCCGGGUCAACCUGGUGAGAGGAACAUCAAUCUUGGAGAAAUCCCUGAUGAACCUCCGAUAAUAGCCGUCUAACCCUAGAAAACUCUUGAUCUUGGAAGGAGAUUUCGGCACCUCCCAACUCAACACCGCCUCGAUCUUGGCCGGAUCGACCAAAAUCCCCUUUUGGUUAACGAGGUGACCAAGGAAUUGCACCUCUCGUAACCAAAAAUCGCACUUGGAGAAUUUGGCAUAAAGCCUCUCCGAUCUCAGCAUACUGAGGAUUUCUCGCAAAUGCUCCUCAUGCUGCUCCCUGGAUCUCGAAUAUACCAAAAUGUCGUCAAUGAACACAAUCACUGAUCGAUCCAGCAUCGGUCUGCAUACCCUGUUCAUGAGAUCCAUGAACGCUGCAGGCGCAUUGGUGAGCCCGAAUGGCAUCACCACGAACUCGUAAUGCCCAUAACGAGUCCUGAACGCGGUCUUCUGGAUAUCCUCCUCGCGCACCCUCAUCUGAUGAUAUCCAGAUCUCAGAUCAAUCUUGGAAAACCAAGAUGCUCCCUGCAGCUGAUCGAACAAAUCGUCGAUCCUCGGCAAAGGAUAACGGUUCUUGACCGUUAACUUAUUCAGCUCUCAAUAAUCUAUACACAUUCCCUGCGAACCAUCCUUUUUCUUCACAAAAAGGAUCGGUACUCCCCACGGCGAGCUGAUCGGCCGUAUAAACCCCUUCCCCAGCAGCUCCUGAAGCUGCGAGGAUAACUCCUGCAUCUCUGGAGGUGCAAGGUGAUAGGGCGCCUUGGCAAUAGGUGCUGCCCCCAGAAGCAAAUCAAUGCGAAACUCAACCUGCCUCUCGGGAGGCACACCCGGUAACUCCUCGGGAAAGACAUCCGGGAAUUCCCGCACUAUCGGAACCUCCUCAACCGUACUCGGUCUCUUUGCACCAACUCUCGUAUCCAUCACAUACGCUACAAAACCACUACAGCCCUGCUGUAGACUCUGUCUCGCUCUAGCAGCCGAACAAAACGCUGAAUCGGGACGGGUACCCUCGCCAUACACCGUAAGAACUCCCCCACUUGGGUCUCGUAUAGUCACCAGUUGCCGCUCGCAAUCGAUAACGGCUGCAAAUUUGCUCAACCAAUCCAUGCCUACGAUGACACAGACAUCCCCCAUCACAAUAGGGACCAAAUCAAUAGGAAACUAUACACCGAAGAUCUCGAGUACACAUCCUCGAAUCACCUCUAUGGCAUACACUACUCUCUCGUCGGCGAUGGAGACUCUCAGAGGUCGACUCAACGCCUCUCGACUAAUACUGAUGUGCUGACUAAAAGCCAACGAUAUAAAAGAUCGACUCGCACCCGAGUCAAAUAACACUAAAGUAGGUACAGAACUCACAAGAAAAGUACCUACGCAUACCACAAUAUAAGCACAAAAUCUCAAACAUUAAAAUAAAUACAUGAAAGAAUACAUACCAGCCACGACAUCGGGCGCUGCGCGGACCUCUUCCGCAGUCAACUAGAAGGCUCUCCCCCAAGCCUUCGGCGUCUCGGUCUUCACCGUCCGACUAUCAGAAGCUCUAAUAGCAGCAGGGACAGACCCCUGAGAAGCUCCCUGUGCUGACCCUCGUAGCAGCAGACACUCGGCCUUCCGGUGUUCGGUCUGGUUGCAGUGGAAACACACUGCAAACCCCUUGGGGCAGUCCUUGGCCAUAUGCCCCUCCUUGCUACACUUGUAGCAAGAUCCAUCUCUACAAACUUCAUCAUGACCCUUGUCGCACUUUCCACAAGUGCGGCCCUUCUGGCUCCCUGCUCUGGGAUCAGCGGGCUUGGCCCGCUUGGCUGCCGGCUGGGACUGUGCAGGUCGCCGAUCCCUCCCCUGAGUCUCCGACUCCUCCCUAGCCUGAGUCUUUAGCUCGAUCUCCCUCUUCCGGGCAUUUGCCUGAAGCUCGGCAAAUGUCCGGUACGAGGAGUUCGCCACGAACUCCUGAAUAUAUGUCCUCAAAAUACUCAAAUAACGGCUCAUACGUGCCUGCUCAGAAGACACGUGCUCAGGGCAGAACAUCGCCCUCUCAUGAAACAACCUGGUAAUAACCGUAACAGACUCCGUACCCUGCUUGAGGGUCAAAAACUCCUUUGCCAACCAAUCCCCUUCCACCGGGGGAACGUACUCAUCACGAAACAUGGCGGUGAACCUCUCUCAGGUCACCGCAACAAAGCUAUGUUGGAGAAUAGUGUGCUGUCGUGAACUUCCACCAAUCCUUCGCCCCCAGGCGAAGCUGGUUCAGCACAAACCGAACCCUCAAGUGCUCCGGGCACGAGCAUGUAUAGAAACACCCCUCAAUGUCAGAUACCCAUCUCAUCGCUGCAAUCGGAUCCUGCGUCCCAUCAAACUCUGGUGGCUUCGUGUUGCUGAACUCCCUGAACAACAACGAGUCACCCCCUUGCGGCCUAGCGGCAGCGACGGCUGCGGUGGCCGCUNGCUCGUCAAAAGUCUCAAUCAGCGUGGUCUUGAUAGACCCGAACAUCUCUGGUAUCUCUGCCCUGAUGGCCGCAGCCACCUCCUCAUGGAUGAUCCGGCGGAUCUCCUCAUCACUAGUCUCGCUGCUCUCUGGUGCAUGAAGUGUCCUCACCAUGAUCUACCUCUGAAAUACAACAUACGAUAUAUUAGAAACUCACUCGAGCAUACUCGCACUCGAUAACUCAUCCCUCCUUGAUCCCUGACAUCCCGAAGAUUCUUACUUGAACUGUACACCGUCCCGGUGUUUUCAGUAGUACGGGCCCAAUACUACCGUCCACACCGCGUCAGUAUACACCCCAAGUCCUCCUCCUAGGAUCCCAAGUCCCAAGUACUCUAUUAUGCAUGAUCCACUCUCUAACAGAUCUCUAAUAAGCUCCUCACUGCUACCUACUCACUCUCAAGCAUCUCAUAGCAGCUCACCUCCCCCUAGGCUAAGGCAUCACAAAUCAGGCCACUCUAGUCCUAAUAGGAAUACCUAGCCCACUCUAGCACGAGAAUACAUCAUAUCAAUCUCAUAAGCAUAUAACAUAAGGGUAUUUUGGGAAAUCACCGUUCGGGCGCUGACUGAUCGUACACACGACUCUGCUCUGCGUUUUCCAAAAAUCUUUUACUCUUUUUAGAAAACUUGGUUCUCUUUUGAAAAUAUUUCUCAAAUCCUCAGUUUGAGUUCAAAUACGCCCGAAGGUGUACUCGAAUCCCUCAAACCAAGGCUCUGAUACCAACUUGUAACACCGUAAAUUUCAAAACAAUUUUUCGCAUUUUAUAAAAACAUAAUUCAUUCAUUACUCAUAAAAACAUCAUUGUUUAAAACUCAAUUCAUAACAUAUAUCAAUCCCAAGAUCUCAUAGCAUAAAAAUCCCGUGUGUGUACUGAUCAAGCCGGCGCCUUCCCGCGAUCCUCACUAGUACCUGAAACACAUAACACAUAACACUGUAAGCACGAAGCUUAGUGAGUUCCCCAAAAUACCAUAUAUAACACAUAUUAGCCACUCGAGGCUAUAACUCUGUGGGUCCGUGCACCCAAACUCUGUGAACCCUCAGGUUCUAUCUCUGUGAACCUUCCGGUUCUAACUCUGUAACAUGCACAACAUAAAUCACAUAGAAUAAUGCAAUGCAACACAUAACACAUAUAUAGCAUACAACACUGUAUCACAUAACUCUGAUUACCUACUCAAGGUAAAGUAUAGUGAGAAGACUCACCUCAGACUCUCGUAAAUCCCUGACUCGGUAGAAGUAUUGCCUAGCCUCCGCCUAUUCACACAAAGUAAAUAUCCUCAUAAAUAUAACACUCGAGGCUAGACUCGACCCUCUAUUGUCACCCUCAGAAGGGUAAAAGACUAUUUUACCCCCCUCUUGACUCAAGGACUCCAUUGCUGACCAAACCCUAAAAGUCAACAAAAGUCAACGGUCAAACUUUGACCCAACUCGCCGAGUGCACUCCGGUGACUCGGCGAGUACACACAUGACUCCUAACUCUAUGUCCCGCUUGGCACGUCGAGUCCCUCCCUAAACUCGACGAGUCACAUCAGACAUGAAUCGCGGGGCCACCCCGACUCAACUCGCCGAGUUUCAAGAACAACUCGACGAGUACAGCCUUGAACUUCAGUCCUCUAAUCCCAAUCUGACUCACUGAGUCAUCCCCCAACUCGGCAGUCCACUCACUGAAUGAUUAAUGGGCAACCUUCAUACUACUCGCCGAGUUUGUUCUUGGGACUCGAUGAGUUCAUGCCUAGCACACUCUCAAAACAACUUCUGAGGUCAGAUCCGUCCCAUACAAUCAUAGAUCUGGCUUCCCCAAGCAUGAUAAUCACGUAAAGUUAACAUCUUGGUGCUCAUGCAAAGGCUUAAAGGCCUUAUUUGAAGAUAUGACCACUAAAAUGACAUCCAAAGCUCAUAACCCCCAUUAACACUCAUAAAGCUCAAGGGAAAAGGGUCUCUGGACCUCUUUGGGUCCAAAUCUAUAGCACCAACACGAGAAGGGGCCAAUUACUCAAUAACCUUCCUCUAAAAGGGGCUAAAAAUCCCUAACUCUAGGAAUUACACCAUAAACUGAAGAAGGGUCGAAUGAAUACCUCAAAAUGAAUUCUCU